CCCAGCGGUAGUCAGCUACCCGUCGCUGCGCAGUGCCUGUGAUAGUGUUAUGCUGCUGGGAGAGAAACGCGCUGCUGAGUGGCUCCUGGCACCGCCGGUGCUGUCCUGGCAUUCGGCAGUGGCAGGGUUUGGCAGCGCUCUGCAUGCUCGAGAGUGGAGUAACUCCUGCUCCGUGGGGUUAAUCCUAGAUGGGAUGCAGACAGU
Molecule: small nucleolar RNA, 204 nt
Organism: Chroicocephalus ridibundus (black-headed gull)
Lineage: Eukaryota; Metazoa; Chordata; Aves; Charadriiformes; Laridae
Product: small nucleolar RNA SNORA74
Exons: 1
Source: RefSeq, a predicted model, not a curated record